Molecule: ribosomal RNA, 253 nt
Filed under: uncultured bacterium
Lineage: Bacteria
Description: partial 16S ribosomal RNA
Rfam family: Bacterial small subunit ribosomal RNA
Source: RNAcentral
UACGAAGGGGGCUAGCGUUGCUCGGAAUCACUGGGCGUAAAGGGUGCGUAGGCGGGUCUUUAAGUCAGGGGUGAAAUCCUGGAGCUCAACCCCAGAACUGCCUUUGAUACUGAGGAUCUUGAGUUCGGGAGAGGUGAGUGGAACUGCGAGUGUAGAGGUGAAAUUCGUAGAUAUUCGCAAGAACACCAGUGGCGAAGGCGGCUCACUGGCCCGAUACUGACGCUGAGGAGCGAAAGCGUGGGGAGCGAACAGG